GUUCACCCUUCGUCCAUAGAGAAGUUUUAGUCACAGUCUUGUUGUUGGUGGCACUGUCCGGCCCAAAUUGACAGGGUUGGUCGGGCUGACAGUAUACGUAAAAAAUGGAAAAGGGAAGAGAUAUUUGUUUUAAUUUUAAUCAGAUAUGUCGGUUCUGUUUAUCACAAGGAGGUGUAAUGUCUGCAAUAUUUGCAGAUUCUGGCCAGGGGAUUAACUCUCUACCAUCUAAAAUCAUGUCUUGUGUAUCAAUUCAGAUAUAUGCAGGAGAUGGCCUCCCUGCAUUGAUAUGCCAUCGAUGUUUGUAUCAAGUAGAGAGAUCCUUUGAAUUCAAGGAACAGUGUGAACAUUCAGAUGCCACAUUGCGACAGUACCUGAAGAGACAGCACAUUGGUGACACUUGUCAGGUAGUAACAAUAAAGCAGGAGACUGUUCAAGAAGACUCAAGUCAGGAUGCGGAAAACAGCAUGUUGCAUUUUGUAUCAGAUUGCGGUACUGCCAGAGGUGAUAACAUGGGUGCAAAACAAAAUGAAAUGCUGUAUAAAGCGGGUCCUCAGCUAUUAGACAUUGAGCCAUCCAGUCUGCAAGGAGAUAAGCCCUCGGCAGGAGAGUGGACAUACAGUCUUGAUGUGACGUCAAAUAAUUUCCUGUUUGAAAAGAGAGAGGAUGUGUUUCAUGCAGGGAGUCUUAUAUUUAAGCCUGAAGAUAUUGACACAGUAGUUGUUGUGGAUCCACACUCCAUGGCUAUGGAUUCCAUGUCUGAUGACAACUGUUCUGAGGAGGGUGUGAGCAAAGAAUGCCUGGGUGUUCGUAUAAAAACUUGUCGUUCAAAGAUUGUUAAUCAAAAUGUGAAUCUAAAACAUGGCAAGAAGUUGUCAGUUGUUGCCAAGGUGGGUAGUGAGAGGAGACCCUUUUCAUGUCCAGAUUGUGGGAAGACAUUUGCUCAACGUGCCCAUCUGGCGCGUCAUGAACUGGUGCAUACUGGUGAGCGUCCAUUUGGGUGUAGCAUAUGUGGCAAGGCAUUUGCUGACAGCUCAACAUUGACAACACACAUGCGCAUUCAUACAGGUGAACGUCCAUUCAUGUGUGAUGCAUGUGGUAAAGCAUUUGCUGGGCGUUCAGAUCUUCGGAAACACGCCAUAAUUCACACUGGCCGACGCCCAUAUGUAUGCAGUGUGUGUUCGAAAGCUUUUACACGCAGUACCAACUUGAAGAAACAUGCGCGGAUCCAUAGUGGUAUGCGACCCCAUGCCUGCAGGGAGUGCUCAAAGACUUUUGCAGCAAAGGGCGACUUGACCCGCCAUGCACUGAUUCACUCUGGCUGCAAACCGUUUGUCUGCACUGUUUGUAAUGUUGCUUUUGCUCGGAGGGACAAGUUGACACGGCAUGAGAAGACCCAUGGCCGGGACCAGCUGUCCUGUGUAUGACAGGCUUAGUUAAAUAUAUGUUCAUUUCUCAUGAGGGAAGGAUUUGUUGUAUCCAUUCAAGAGUAUUACUUUUUUUGUAGAAGUAUACUAAUUUUUUUUUUGUCUAAUCUUGGGAUUCCAGUUGGACUGGAAGCUGAUUUUAAAUGAUGCUAGACAGGAAAGUGACUAUAGGCUUUUCAUCUGAAAAUUAUUCCUUUAAAAUAUUCUUAAUGCACAGAUUUGUAUCUGUUUAUUUCAUUUCCAAUGAUUUGUUUGUGUGCACUUCAAGAAGGUAACAGAACACCUGUGUUGUAUUUGCAUGCCUGAAGGUUAGUAACAUCUGUACUGCAUGGUAUAAAAAAGUGUAAGUUAGUGGAUGGUGCUAUGAAGAUUAAGUGUGAUAUUUCUGGAAAUGCUCAAAAUUUGAUUUAUAUUUUUAAAAUAUAACAUUUCUGAAUUUUAAGGACCUGAAGUUACACAGAACUGUGAUUGUGUUUGGGGUAUUUUAUGUAUGGUGCAGCUAGAUGUGUCAUUCACUGUAGUCAUAUUAGCUACAUUCAGUUUUGUAAGUACAAGUCUGUCUUUUUUUAAGGUUGUUUCAAGUCACGAGAAACUUCUAUUUUUGUAAAGUAAAUUAAAAGCAUAACUUUGCAAAAAAACUAUUAUAUUGUAACUGAUACACAUAAAGGAAAGAAUAUAAUCUUUUUUAUAGUGACACAACUAGCUUCAUGAUUAAUUGUUGUCAAAUUUUGUGUGUACAAUUUUGCUCUUGUCUUAUUUUCUUUUAGUCUGUCUCAAAGCACUUGAAACACACAUGUCCAUGAGCUAACAUGAAAUAUAGUUUUGCAUAGAAGCUAUUAAAAUUUGUUCAUAUAUACAUAGAUAUUUGAAUAUAAUCUUGUUUAUUGUGAUAUUGCAAUUUCAGUAGGUAAUCUGUUACUAUGUGUUCAUUUCAUAAGAUAAUUUAAAAAUCAUUUUUCUUGGUGUAAUAACUGUGAUGUUCAAUUGUACAUUAAAUCUUUAAAUGAAGUAUGAGCAUAGAUUACGUAUAUUUAUAAUACUGAAUAUGUGAUAAUUUUAAAUGUUGGCAGGUAGUAUGAUCUCCAACAUCAUUACUUGGGAGGGUUGGGAAUUCUGUGCUCUUAUGGUAUACAGAUGUGAUAACAUAGACUGAAGAAAUCUCAUGUAAAACAAGAAGAGGAUGCUCAACAUAAUCAGAGUUCCCAGGAAAAAACAGCCAAUGUUGAGUCUGUAGUGGUGAAUGUAGACCCAUAUCAGAUGGAUGUCAAGGAACAGACUGAUGCACAGGAC
Non-coding RNA from Zootermopsis nevadensis, 2714 nucleotides. Lineage: Eukaryota; Metazoa; Arthropoda; Insecta; Blattodea; Termopsidae. The record is from RefSeq and is a predicted model, not a curated record.